Molecule: ribosomal RNA, 434 nt
Filed under: Bacillus sp. MRMR6
Lineage: Bacteria; Bacillati; Bacillota; Bacilli; Caryophanales; Bacillaceae
Description: bacterial LSU rRNA
Rfam family: Bacterial large subunit ribosomal RNA
Source: RNAcentral
UUAGGUUAAGUUAGAAAGGGCGCACGGUGGAUGCCUUGGCACUAGGAGCCGAUGAAGGACGGGACUAACACCGAUAUGCUUCGGGGAGCUGUAAGUAAGCUUUGAUCCGGAGAUUUCCGAAUGGGGGAACCCACUGCUCGUAAUGGAGUAGUAUCUUUACCUGAAUACAUAGGGUAUUGAAGGCAUACCCGGGGAACUGAAACAUCUAAGUACCCGGAGGAAGAGAAAGCAAACGCGAUUCCCUGAGUAGCGGCGAGCGAAACGGGACAUAGCCCAAACCAAGAGGCUUGCCUCUUGGGGUUGUAGGACACUCAACAUGGAGUUACAAAGGAACGGGGUAGAUGAAGCGACCUGGAAAGGUCAGCCGUAGAAGGUAAAAGCCCUGUAGUUGAAACUUCGUUCCCUCCUGAGUGGAUCCUGAGUACGGCCGGACA